CCUACUGGCGGCUGCAGUGGGGAAUAUUGGACAAUGGGCGAAAGCCUGAUCCAGCCAUGCCGCGUGUGUGAAGAAGGCCUUCGGGUUGUAAAGCACUUUCAGUGGGGAAGAAAGCCUUGGGGCUAAUACCCUCGAGGAAGGACAUCACCCACAGAAGAAGCACCGGCUAACUCCGUGCCAGCAGCCGCGGUAAUACGGAGGGUGCGAGCGUUAAUCGGAAUUACUGGGCGUAAAGCGCGCGUAGGCGGUCUGAUAAGCCGGUUGUGAAAGCCCCGGGCUCAACCUGGGAACGGCAUCCGGAACUGUCAGGCUAGAGUGCAGGAGAGGAAGGUAGAAUUCCCGGUGUAGCGGUGAAAUGCGUAGAGAUCGGGAGGAAUACCAGUGGCGAAGGCGGCCUUCUGGACUGACACUGACGCUGAGGUGCGAAAGCGUGGGUAGCAAACAGGAUUAGUACCCUGGUAGUC
RNAcentral lists this ribosomal RNA (464 nucleotides) under Vreelandella stevensii. RNAcentral's name for it is "partial 16S ribosomal RNA". It matches the Rfam family "Bacterial small subunit ribosomal RNA", at positions 338 to 795 of the family's 1533-position model. Lineage: Bacteria; Pseudomonadati; Pseudomonadota; Gammaproteobacteria; Oceanospirillales; Halomonadaceae. The record is from RNAcentral.